RNAcentral lists this long non-coding RNA (450 nucleotides) under Salmo salar (Atlantic salmon). RNAcentral's name for it is "lncRNA (ENSSSAG00000112350.1)". Lineage: Eukaryota; Metazoa; Chordata; Actinopteri; Salmoniformes; Salmonidae. The record is from RNAcentral.
GGGGUGGAAAGGUAGACCUACUCUGUCUGGGGUGGAAAGGUAGACCUACUCUGUCUGGGGUGGAAAGGUAGGCCUACUCUGUCUGGGGUGGAAAGGUAGGCCUACUCUGUCUGGGGUGGAAAGGUAGGCCUACUCUGUCUGGGGUGGAAAGGUAGGCCUACUCUGUCUGGGGUGGAAAGGUAGGCCUACUCUGUCUGGGGUGGAAAGGUAGACCUACUCUGUCUGGGGUGGAAAGGUAGACCUACUCUGUCUGGGGUGGAAAGGUAGGUCUACUCUGUCUGGGGUGGAAAGGUAGGUCUACUCUGUCUGGGGUGGAAAGGUAGGUCUACUCUGUCUGGGGUGGAAAGGUAGGCCUACUCUGUCUGGGGUGGAAAGGUAGGCCUUCUCUGUCUGGGGUGGAAAGGUAGACCUACUCUGUCUGGGGUGGAAAGGUAGACCUAUUCUGUCUGG